GACGAACGCUGGCGGCGUGCUUAACACAUGCAAGUCGAACGGAGUUGCCUGAUCUGAUUCUUUCGGGAUGACGAACUUGCAACUUAGUGGCGAACGGGUGAGUAACGCGUGAGGAACCUGCCCCGGAGUGGGGGACAACAGUUGGAAACGACUGCUAAUACCGCAUAAGCCCACAGUACCGCAUGGUACAGAGGGAAAAGGAGCAAUUCGCUUUGGGAUGGCCUCGCGUCCAAUUAGCUAGUUGGUGAGGUAACGGCCCACCAAGGCGACGAUUGGUAGCCGGACUGAGAGGUUGAACGGCCACAUUGGGACUGAGAUACGGCCCAGACUCCUACGGGAGGCAGCAGUGGGGAAUAUUGCACAAUGGGGGGAACCCUGAUGCAGCGACGCCGCGUGGAGGAAGAAGGGUCUUCGGGAUUGUAAACUCCUGUUGUUAGGGACGAUAAUGACGGUACCUAACAAGGAAGCACCGGCUAACUACGUG
Molecule: ribosomal RNA, 484 nt
Filed under: uncultured bacterium
Lineage: Bacteria
Description: bacterial SSU rRNA
Rfam family: Bacterial small subunit ribosomal RNA
Source: RNAcentral